AUGGCGGAGACGGUGCUGAGCAUGGCGAGGCCCAUGCUGCGCGCCGCCAUUAGCAAGGCCGCCUCUGCCGCCGCUGAUGAGAUGAGCCUCCUCAUGGGUGUGGGCAAGGAUAUCUGGUUCAUCAAAGACGAAAUAGCGACGAUGCAGGCUUUCCUGGCGGCCGCUGAAUCGAUAAAGGAGAAAGACAUAUUACUCAAGGUGUGGGCAGAGCAAGUAAGGGAUGUCUCGUACAAUAUUGAAGAUUGCCUUGGUGAAUUCAUGGUGCAUGUGGCAAGUCAAAGCUUGUCGAGGAAGCUCAUGAAACUCAAAGAUCGCCAUCGAAUUGCGAUUCAAAUUCGCGAUCUGAAAUCAAGAGUUGAAGAAGUCAGCAAAAGGAAUAUACGCUACAACCUGAUUGAGAAGAACCAACUCAUUAAAGCCAUUGAAGAAAGGGAUUCUUGCAUGGAAGAUAUUCGCAACCAGUCAGCCAUCAACAUUGAUGAAGCUGAACUUGUGGGGUUCUCCAAGCCAAAACAAGAGUUGAUAAAUCUCAUAGAUGUCCAAGCCAUAAAUAGCCCUGCUCAGGUAGUGUGUGUCGUCGGCAUGGGUGGUUUGGGUAAGACUACUCUUACAAUGAAGGUUUAUGAAAAUAUGAAAAGCUAUUCAUGUUGUGCUUGGAUCACUGUCUCUCAGUCAUUUGUCAGGAUGGAGUUCCUCAAAGUUAUGAUCAAAAAACUUUUUGGCAGUGAAGCAUUGACGAAGCAACUUGAAGGGAAUGUAGUGAACGAAGUGAAUCUCGCCAACUAUCUUAGAGAAGAGCUACUUGAGAAGAGGUAUUUUGUUGUUCUUGAUGAUUUGUGGAACAUAGAUGAUUGGAAUUGGAUGAAAAGUGUUGUUUUUCCUAGAAGUAACAACAAAGGAGGCAUGCUUGCCACUAGAGUGGUUGAUGAGUGGGAAAAUAUUUAUAACCAGCUCCCCUCGGAGCUAGAGAGAAACCGGAGCCUUGAAGCAAUGAAGAGGAUGGUUACUCUGAGUUACAACCACUUGCGUUCUCAUCUUAAGUCAUGUUUUCUGUAUUUAAGGUUAUUUCCCGAGGAUUUUGAAAUCAAAAGGAGGCGUCUAGUGGAAAGAUGGAUAGCCGAGGGGUUUAUUAUUGCCAGGAGUGGGGUGAGUGUUGAGGAUGUUGGGAUUAGUUACUUCAAUGACCUAAUCAACCGAAGCUUGAUUCAGCCAUCAAGAGUGAACAUAGAAGGAAUUGUCAAGAGUUGUCGAGUUCAUGAUAUUGUUCAGGAUGUCAUGAUCUCUAUUUCUAGAGAUGAAAUUUUUGCAUGGUCUACAUCAGAUAAUGUAACCGGCAUAGCAGUGGAUAACUUUCGUCAUGUGGCAUACCAAGGAGGUUGGAGCCCAAAUAGAGGCUUGAAUUGGAACCAUGUCCGGUCAUUGACUGUGUUUGGUGAGAGACCAAUGAAGCCGGCCCCUUCACUAUGUUCGCCUGACUUUAGGAUGCUUAGAAUCUUGGAUCUGCAAGAUGCCCAGUUUAUAAUCACACAAAAAGAUAUCAACACUGUAUGGUCAUUACGUCAUUUGAAAUAUGUCAACAUCGGGUUUUCUUAUGAUUGUUCUUCUGAUAUUUACAAGAUCCCAAGAACCAUAGGGAAACUACAAGGCUUACAAACAUUGGACAUAAGAGAUGGUCAUGUUGCAUCCCUACCAACUGAGAUCACUAAACUACAAAGCCUUCGUAGCCUCCGUUGCAGCAAAGAUAGUAUACAUGCUAGUUUAUUCUUACUUUACCCUGCAAACUGGUUCUUGUCCACAUUCUGUAUGCCUAUUCUGUUCACUCCUCCUUUAGUUAGUCUGGAAGAGCGUCGACGCCUAAUGAUGGAUUUUUACAUGGCCUGGACUGGUGGUUUUACCAGCUCUAAUGGUGUGAGGGUGCCCAAAGGGAUCAGCAACCUAAAGGAGUUAGAGAUACUAGAGAUUGUGGAUACUGAACGGACUAGCAGGAAAGCAGUGAAAGAGCUCGGGGAGCUUAUAAAGCUAAGAAAGUUAAGUGUCACAGUAGGGGCAAGCAAGCAGAAGAGCAAAAUACUCUGUACAUCCCUUGAGAAGCUCACUUCCCUCACAUCUCUUUGUCUCCGUGUGGAUGAUGGUAUAUCUGGGAGAAGCAAUGCAUCACUUAAGUGGUUGCAGUCUGUUUCCUCCCCUCCCCCUCUCCUGAGGAAGCUGGCUUUGGAUGGAGAUCUUGAGGAGAUGCCUAUCUGGUUUGGGGAUCUGAUACAUUUGGUGAAGAUUGGCUUAUGGUGUAGCAAUCUGACAGAAGGUGGUGAAAGCAUGAAAACACUGGGCGCACUGCCUAAGCUCAUGCUGCUUGAUCUUGGUUGGAAAUCUUAUGUUGGGGAGAAACUGUUUUUUAGAGCAGAAACAUUCCUAAGUCUCAGGAGACUUGCUAUUUCGGGCCUGACGCAACUGACGGAGUUGACAUUUGAGGUGGGCACCUCGCCCCUAUUGGAAAAGAUAGAAAUCCGUCACUGCAGAUUGUCUUCGGGGAUUACUGGCAUCAAACACCUUCCAAAUCUCAAGGAGAUUUCAUUUUGUUCGUAUGGUAAAGUGGCAAGGCUUGGUGCGCUGCAACGUGAAGUGGAGGCACAUCCCAACCAUCCCGCUCUGCGACUGCAGAGCGACGGGAACCACCACGACCUGGAUGAUGUAGUCCAACGAUCCAAUACUGCAGUACAAGCGGACGAAGCGAUGGAGGGGGAGGAAUCAUCUCUCCAUGCCGACCCAGCAGCAGUUGGAGAGAGCUCCUCAUCGCAGGCGGUGGCUGUGACGACGAGGAGCGACAGCACAACUGAACAUGCUCUUGCUCUUCUGUUGUUGUUUGUUGUAGCAGCCAAGAUUCUGAAGAUGAUUAUUGCUCCUGCAUUUCUGAUGACGGCGACGAUGCUUGAUGAUCGAUCGAUCCUGCUUGUUUCUUUCUUCAGCGACAUUGCAACUGCUCCUACUGCUUCCGGUACAGAUUCUCUGGGACUUGAUGUACCGCCCUGCUCUCGCGGAAUCUCUCCAUCACCACUUGGGCUCAGUUAUAUAUGCCCCUCUUUCUCAACCUGGUCUGGAAGAUGGCAUUAUCAAUCAACUCAUGAAUCAUCAAGAGACGCAACCUGCAUUCUCUGA
RNAcentral lists this ribosomal RNA (3153 nucleotides) under Triticum aestivum (bread wheat). RNAcentral's name for it is "partial small subunit ribosomal RNA". The record is from RNAcentral. Lineage: Eukaryota; Viridiplantae; Streptophyta; Magnoliopsida; Poales; Poaceae.